UACGAAGGGAGCUAGCGUUGUUCGGAAUUACUGGGCGUAAAGGGCGCGUAGGCGGCUUGGCAAGUUGGAUGUGAAAGCCCAGGGCUCAACCCUGGAAUUGCAUUCAAGACUGCCUUGCUUGAAUUCGGUAGAGGUUGGUGGAAUUCCCAGUGUAGAGGUGAAAUUCGUAGAGAUUGGGAAGAACACCCGUGGCGAAGGCGGCCAACUGGACCGACAUUGACGCUGAGGCGCGAAAGCGUGGGGAUCAAACAGG
This 253-nucleotide ribosomal RNA is filed under the name uncultured bacterium. RNAcentral's name for it is "partial 16S ribosomal RNA". It matches the Rfam family "Bacterial small subunit ribosomal RNA", at positions 524 to 776 of the family's 1533-position model. The record is from RNAcentral. RNAcentral also lists the same sequence under 1 other name.